UCAGGAAAAGAGGUUGAUAUGAACCCAGAAGUCAAUGUUCAGGAAGUGGCUGAAGAUGAUAAAGAUGAUGGUGUAACAAUUAUUGAUCAGGUCUCCUUCUGGCUGCGCUGGACCUGCGCACGCGGGGGACUUCCGCAUCGGGCCCUCCAGCCUCCCGCAGCGUCCCGCAGCGCCCUGGCGGGCAGCAGCCUGGGUGGUAGCGGCGCGCUUGGUGCUCGGCGCCAGCACCUGCUACUGCCAUCUACAGGCUGAGGCGGGGCCCGCGGCGAGGCGGCCGGGGGCAUCGGCUGAGCCCCUCUGGAUCUGCAGGCUCUGUUACUGUCAAGGUCCCAUCUUCUCCUCAAACCUAUUUACAGUUAUCAGGAAAAGAGGUUGAUAUGAACCCAGAAGUCAAUGUUCAGGAAGUGGCUGAAGAUGAUAAAGAUGAUGGUGUAACAAUUAUUGGUAAGGAGGCUGCAUUUUCCCUUGUAUGGACU
Perognathus longimembris pacificus (Pacific pocket mouse) is the source of this 476-nucleotide long non-coding RNA. RefSeq lists it as uncharacterized. The record is from RefSeq and is a predicted model, not a curated record. The transcript is spliced from 3 exons. Lineage: Eukaryota; Metazoa; Chordata; Mammalia; Rodentia; Heteromyidae.